Molecule: long non-coding RNA, 342 nt
Filed under: Aquilegia coerulea
Lineage: Eukaryota; Viridiplantae; Streptophyta; Magnoliopsida; Ranunculales; Ranunculaceae
Description: long non-coding RNA (ACOE_LNC001710)
Source: RNAcentral
UGCUAUUUCUGUAGUGCUUCAAAACGCAGUGCAGUUUUUGAAUUUAAUGGAUGAGAGAGGAAUCUUGCGUCAUGCAUAAACCAUGUCUAUCAUAAUUAAUAUGCUAGCAGCAGAUGACCUAGAUUGUGAGAGUAGAGAUAGACUGCGUGACUACUUUGUGAAGUGAUGAACUAAGGUAUUCCGUUUAUAUAUUUGAUCAGUAGACAUUAUUUUGUUCAAAAUAAGUAUGUGAUAUUACAUGCUUUGCUUUGUUUAAUGAAAUAAAUAAAGGAUGUAACAACUUUCUCUAUUCACGUUAGAACAAAGGAUGUAAACGCUUUCAUUAUUUAAUGUAAGAUCUCC